GCAGCAGUAGGGAAUCUUCCACAAUGGACGAAAGUCUGAUGGAGCAACGCCGCGUGAGUGAUGAAGGUUUUCGGAUCGUAAAACUCUGUUGUAAGGGAAGAACAAGUACGUUAGGAAAUGAACGUACCUUGACGGUACCUUAUUAGAAAGCCACGGCUAACUACGUGCCAGCAGCCGCGGUAAUACGUAGGUGGCAAGCGUUGUCCGGAUUUAUUGGGCGUAAAGCGCGCGCAGGUGGUUUCUUAAGUCUGAUGUGAAAGCCCACGGCUCAACCGUGGAGGGUCAUUGGAAACUGGGGAACUUGAGUGCAGAAGAGGAUAGUGGAAUUCCAAGUGUAGCGGUGAAAUGCGUAGAGAUUUGGAGGAACACCAGUGGCGAAGGCGACUGUCUGGUCUGUAACUGACACUGAGGCGCGAAAGCGUGGGGAGCAAACAGGAUUAGAUACCCUGGUAGUCCACGCCGUAAACGAUGAGUGCUAAGUGUUAGGGGGUUUCCGCCCCUUAGUGCUGCAGCUAACGCAUUAAGCACUCCGCCUGGGGAGUACGACCGCAAGGUUGAAACUCAAAGGAAUUGACGGGGGCCCGCAC
RNAcentral lists this ribosomal RNA (587 nucleotides) under Kurthia sp. RNAcentral describes it as "bacterial SSU rRNA". It matches the Rfam family "Bacterial small subunit ribosomal RNA", at positions 348 to 926 of the family's 1533-position model. The record is from RNAcentral. Lineage: Bacteria; Bacillati; Bacillota; Bacilli; Caryophanales; Caryophanaceae.